GCCGCUUUCGUCUAGUGGUUAGGACACGACGUUCUCAACGUUGAAACAUGGGUUCGAUUCCCGUAAGCGGCA
Molecule: transfer RNA, 72 nt
Filed under: Candidatus Wolfebacteria bacterium
Lineage: Bacteria; Candidatus Wolfeibacteriota
Also listed under: 1 other name
Description: tRNA-Glu
Rfam family: tRNA
About the family: Transfer RNA (tRNA) molecules are approximately 80 nucleotides in length. Their secondary structure includes four short double-helical elements and three loops (D, anti-codon, and T loops).
Source: RNAcentral